Molecule: non-coding RNA, 3135 nt
Organism: Python bivittatus (Burmese python)
Lineage: Eukaryota; Metazoa; Chordata; Lepidosauria; Squamata; Pythonidae
Source: RefSeq, a predicted model, not a curated record
UGUAUAUUUACAGACGGACGCACACACACACACACACACACACACGCAAACAUUGCAAAGCAUGCCUGCACAAACGCGCUUGGGGGCAGCACAGUCGCACUCUUCCCCCCACGCCAAGCUGCUUUCCUCUCCCCCCUAUAGGGGGUGUCCCUGCUCGCCUGUUCCUUUGCACUGGCCUACCUCCUUUUUGGGCUGCAUGCUGUCUGAAGGCCCCGCACAGUCCUCAACCUCAAAAAGAUUGUGUGAAGCACUGGAUCAGCAUUGCUAAUAUAAUUCUGCAGAUCAGCUGCUGUCAGCUGGCAGCUGUUCCCAAAUGCCUUAGGAAGCAGCAGAAGAUGCAAGAGUACAUUUUACUGAUAACAUGUCCCUUCACCAUUCCAGGAAUCAGGAUGAUAGGCUGGAAAAGACAUUGUUCUAUCCCAACUGACUUGUCUUAUGUUGACUGUAUAUCUGAUGAACUUUUGCUUGUUGUUUUAUUAAGACUGGAACCAGUGUCCCAGCCAUUUAAGGGAUAACCUCCAUUAGACAGCCUACCUGCCCUUUCCCUAAUCUGAUCCUGUUUUACUGUCUGUUGACUUCUCUUGGAGGGGAAAUCAGUUGUUCAUUCAAGGCAAAUAUCUGAAAAUUAUGCUGCCCAGCACCUGCUUUGGGAGGUGAUCUUGAGGUUGGACAUCCUAGGUCUGCCUUAUGCAACUAUAAUGUAUGGUGGGUUUCAAAGUUCUACAUCAAAGAUCUCAAAUCUGCUUUUGAGACUAUACACAUAUAUUUUACACAUUUUGAGACUAUAGUUCCCAUCCUCAGACACCAUAGCUAAAUGGUCUAGGAGAACAUCAUUGGGAGACAACUUGAGGGACUUGCUAAAGGCUGAAAGCUCAAAAGUCUGACUCCCACAUUCCCAAUGUGAUGCAUGGGAACAGUAAUUGGCCUGCUGAAUGUUACUUGGCACCUACCAGGCUCUCUGCCAUCUAUAUGACUACACAGAGCCCAGAAUGUAGACAUGAAGAAGAUGAGCUGCUCCAGAAGCAUCCUGUGGAAAUGGUUGCCCAAGUUUAACCACCUCAGAACAAACUGGAAGAGGAGUCCAGCUGCAUCACACAAACCUAUCCUCAGAUUUGGAAGCCUUUGUCCCUCAGGCAGUCUCUUCAACAUCUGCUCAGAAGAAAAACUUGAAUUGUCCCUUAUUUCCAGGGAUAAAUCUUGGCUGAGUUGAGCCUUGUCACAAAUUCUUUAUGUCCUACUGGGGUUGGCCUACCAUUUAAGAGUAAGGUUUAUUUUGGAUUUCUUGAAAAUGCUCUGGUUGUUUUCUCGAUUAUUUAAUUCGCUGCUUAUUGUGUGUUUAUUCUCAGGGAUGGGGGAGAAAUAUGUGAGGAUUUUCUGCCUAGGGUACCAAAAUAAUUUGGCUGACUUUGGACACUAUGUUUUAGGUGCCUGAGGGUGGUGGGAGAAAGGCCUGUUUGGUUCCAUGCCUCAGGAAGCAAAAUAACUUGAAUCCAUCUUGGGAGAUAAUAGAGCCGGCCUUGCACAACAUGAUGGACUAAGACCUAUGUCCCACCUGGUAGGAAGAUGCAAAACAGAACUCUGUAGGGGUGUGAUGGAUGGGAGCUAAAGUGGCCAGAGGGACAUUACUCCAUUACUAAGAAAGGCCAGGGAGUUGGUUAACUUCCCACCCAUCAUCAUCAUCAACAUCAUCACAACACUGCCCUGGUCAAUUAUUUGGAGAAAACAACUGACUAGAUGGAAUUCCUUUAGUUUCUCAAAAAAAUGAGGCUGUCUAGAUCUAAAAUUAACUCUCUUGGAUUUACUUAGCUGGAUCAGCUGGCCACCUUAGAGUAUUUAUGUGACAUGCUAACCCACCAUGUUGACCCAGUUAACUGUGUCACGCGAACAGGGCAAGAGCUUCGAAGAGCUUUUGGAAAUUUAUGUUGAGGUUCCAUAGAUAAAACUGGAACAGCAGAUCAAAACAUUUCUUCCAUUCAUAAUCAAGUCACUUCUGCACAUUCUUUAUACCGUGAGUGCUCUUGAACACCAUUUCAGUGAAUCUUCUACAGUAUACCAUUCUGCCGAAUUGUUCUUGAAAUUAACUUGUCAGUUUUGGGGGGGAAUGACUCUCUUUUUUAAUUUUUAAUUCAUCUGAUGCCCUGCAGAAGAACUAAGGGCUACUGCCUUUGACAAAUCAAAUGUUUGAAGACUAAAAACCUAAGUAGAGCUGGAACUCAUGUUCAGCAUAUCUUUUCAAUAACUGGGUUUGUACAUUGUGCCAAGCCAUGAUUAUUGUACAUUAAAAUGUUUUAUUCACUAAACUACAGUUGGCUGAAUUCAACAUACAGAGCCAUAAACUGUGGCUUACAAACCACAUUAGCUGGGUUCCCCCAAUAUACUAAACUAAAUCUAAUAAACAAUAUUAUAGUUUUGUGCAAUGUGGCAGUGCUCAAGGCUAGAAUAAAGAAAGUAGACACAAAAUGUUUAUGAGCGAGUCGAAAGUACAUAUGCUAAGUAUGGCUGUCUUAAAAUAGUGAGCCCACAUUCCUUUUAUUUUUUAGAAAAGCAGCUUCUGAAAGAGGUGAAAUUUGGCAGACAGGCACAAAAGAAGAGUUUCCCAGGUUCCUUUUCUUACAUAAAAAAGAUGUAGGAGGCUUUAUGACGCAUGCUAUCCCAUAAUACAUUGUUCAUCUUUAAGAAUCUGCCAAAAGUCCCCAGUAAUGGGGAAGGAAGAUCUCCUGAGCAGCAAAUGCCUUCAUGAGCCUCUGUGCCUCUACCUGAUAAAUUAAAUAUUGAGCUUUGGUGGGACUUGAAUGUAACUUUUACUGCAGUUGGGCACAGAUUGACAAUUUCUUGAUCAGAACCUGGGUGUAUCAUAAAUGUAGGUAAUAAACAAUACCUGGGUCCUAUCAGUGUGUUUCUAUUCAAUUCACACUCCUGUAUGCAUGUUUUUUAAGAUCUCAGAAGGAAGCAUUCCUAGACUCAUUAGUGGGAUAUCUACAGUACACUAGACUAGGCAAAAAUGUGUUUGAAAAGAUCAUGUUUUAGCCUCAUAAGGGAACUCAACCUUGUCUUAACAUGUUGUGUUGAACCAUGAUAUUAUUUAUUGUUUGGGCAUAACAUGUGAACCCAAUCUCCUUGAUUCAAAUGCCAUAG